This is an RNA transcript of Rhinichthys klamathensis goyatoka, 1926 nucleotides long. RefSeq lists it as uncharacterized. The record is from RefSeq and is a predicted model, not a curated record. NCBI's taxonomy places the organism in Eukaryota, Metazoa, Chordata, Actinopteri, Cypriniformes, Leuciscidae. The transcript is spliced from 5 exons.
GGCUCCUAGAGCUAAACCACAUUUUACACAUUAAGGAACUGUCUCCGGUAAAGUGGCGCUGAUACUAACACAGGAUAAAUAAUAUUGUGCCGUCUUGGUCAUUGUUUUCAAAUUGAAAAAGUUUAAAUGGUCCGUCAAGAAACCAAACGAAUUAUUUUGACAGAGCAAUAAUUUCCUUAUGCUUUAUUUUAAAUAAUGUGCCUAAAUGAUGAUGGUCUGUCUUCUUUGAAAUAAGACGAACACAAUUCCGGUUAAGUCAACGGAGAACUCACUUGACAUGCACUUCACGGACUUCAACCGAGUACGGUAACAUAAGCCUGGCCUGUGGAGAGCCACCCACACACACGGCGUGAAAUCCACACCCCCUCAGGAGUGCAGUGAGGGAGACAAAAGCACCAUUGUGCAGAUAGAGGGAUGGAGGACAGGAGGCUCCUGCCUCUAGAUGGAGGUGGCAAUCCCAAGUGCUCCGCCUUAGCAGAUAAAGAUAAAGUGGUCAGGAUGGAGCAGGGUGACCCAGAGACCUCAACACAAAUGCGUGUCAGAAAAGACGAUCUCUGUGAUGUUCCUCGCAAGGUGCCUCGUUUCCAGUAUGUGGAUUUCCCUUCCUUGCACCAGUGCAUCCAACAGCUUUCUGUGCCUCCACUGAACGGUUGGCUGGGAUCCUGCUCGUUGGCAAAGGCACCAAACGGUAGGCCCUCCAGUCCUAAAGAAAAGGUGCCCAAGUUUAAAUACGUGGACUACCCAUCUCUCCACCACUGCAUUCAGCAGCUGUCUGUGCCUCCAUUAGAAAGCUGGAGUGCAGGGCUGGUCAGCUUUAAUGCAGAGGGGAGACCGGAAGUGUCUGGAUUGCAGAAGAGGCCCUUUCAACCUGGGAAUGUGAGGAAGAACCAGAGGAAUGAGGCAGGAGUUCGAAACAACGAGAGUAGAGUUACAGGAUUUUCUUUCCCAAGAGACACACACACCUCAGUCUCAGGCAAGGAGGAGAGGCCUCAACACAAUUACACCUCAGAGGCCCCACAGAAGUUAGAGGAAGGUAACGUAAGGUCCUGUGCUAUGAAACCAGAAUCUGGUUUGCGAUCAGAUUGCGGUUCCAGGUUAGAAUUUGGUUCUGGAUCUCAGAGUAACACAGCGGUGGUGAGAAGCGACAGGCCGUCGGUUAUUAGCAUGGUAUACACAGAUAAGCAGAAGCACUGGACAAAGGCAGAUCCCCUGGAAGAACAAUUGAACUCUCCAGAUUCAGUCGGACGUGUACCGUGGAAUACCCUCCCAGAGUCAGUCUGCCCAUUCUGCCAACAGAUGUUCACAAACCCAGAGCAGUUCAGGGCUCACCAGAGGAGCCAUAAAGAUAAGAGACCAAAUUGAUGUGCAGAAGAACCGAGUGAGAGCUGCCUUUGCAAACAGUUAAUGCCACAUACCAUGGAAUCUUAUCAUCAGAAGCCUUCUUGUGUUGUGACUGGCUAUAGUGGUGCUUGCUGGCAGGACUAUAGGGAGAUCAAAGACAUGAUAAACACAUUAGACAGUUUGGAGAGAGACCUAUUUAUGAUUUAGAAGGGGUCAAUAUUUACUUACCCACAUAAGGAUCAUCAGACAUGAUGGGGUUCCAGCUCAAGACAGGGGAUUAGAACCAGAUUGGUUGUCUCUUCCACACAUAGCCUAUAAUAUGAGUGUUUUUACAGGGGUGGGUGAAGCUCGAUGAACUGGUGCAUAAGAGGAUACAUUUUAUUACAUAUGUGUUCACCACACUGUGUGCAUGGUGGCAGGCUAAAUAUUUAGCUUUCGGUGCCUACAAAAUAAUGGCUAUUGUUAAUAAUGCACAAACAAACAGGCUUGUUAUUGAUUUGUUACAUUAGCUUUUUAUUGUUUUGUAUAUUUUUUUUUAUGUUUUUUGAAAUUAAUGUCUAGUGGCUUUGAGCUGGUAGCUUUAAA